GCCAGUCGCGUUUCACUUUGAAAAAAUUUAGCAAGCUUUCACCUUCUUCCUCCCUUCUUCGAUCUUCAAUGGGAUGCCAAAGAAAAAUUUCGAUCUUCGAUCUUCUUCGAUGGACUACCAGUAAUCUUGUCCCGCUCCUCAGCUCUCUUCUUUAUUCACCUUCCCCCUUCUUCUUCCCCUCUGCGUUUUAAAACCUGGUCCAACUACCAGCCUGCCGUAAUUUUUGCAGACCUAGCUUGCCGGGAGUUUACAAGCAGACCUAGCACGACGGCGCCGCUCCCUUCUCUUGUCGAGAUUUUUAGAAUUAAGUUUAGGAAAUUAGGGUUUGUGAAUUUGAAUUUGGGGAUUUUGGAGUUAGGGCUUUUCGUAUUGGCGGCAGAGCACCACUCGGAACCACUCCACAGCAGCGGCAUGAGUGACUGGAGACAACCCGCAGUGGUGGUCGACGGAGCAAGCUAGGUCUAUUACAGAUUCUGAGCAUGAAGCAAAGUGGUUGUGCGUCAAAGAGACCAGCUAUAGUUUUCCUGCACAGCACGCACAAGUGCAAAGAAUGGUUACGGCCUUUGCUUGAGGUUGCAUUGCACAUUGAGUACAACCACAAUAUGUUGACAUCACAACAGAAAGGGAACCCAAAUUAAGGAAGUAAUUGUUGGAUGGUAUUCAACCGGAUUUGGUGUUACGAGAGGUUCCGCUUUGAUCCAUGAAUUCUACUCUAGAGAGGUUGCAAAUCCUUUCCAUGUACUAGUGGACACUACAUUCAGAAAUGGAGAGGCAACCAUAAAAGCCUUUGUCUUUGUUAAUUUAUCUCUUCGAGACCAGUCACUUGCUGCUCAAUUUCAGAAAAUUUCCUGCAGAACUUCGAAUGUCAGAAGCAGAGAGGGUUGAAUGUAGGCACUUAACCCUAGUUCUCUUGAUUAAUUAACCCUGCUAAAUUUGAAAAAUACUCCAGUAGUCUUGUGGGUCCUAUAUUUUAAGCUCUUAAUUGCUUCUUGCGGGUUAGAUUGUUGCAUCUACAUGGGUCUUAUCAACUUGAUCAACUCAUCAUGUGUGAGGUAGGACUUUGGUCUGUUUCUCUUCUCUAAUAUCAGGCCCACUGAUCUUAUUGAUGUUCUCUUAUGCUGCUGUAGUGCUUUCCUCAGUUAAUUCUUUGGCUCAAUGUCUCUAUAGUCUUCCUUAAUUGUGUUCACUCGAUUCAAACUCUUUUUUUUUUUACUAUUGUUGUUAUGGCAAUAGCUAUUAUUUGAGAUUCAUGGC
Spinacia oleracea (spinach) is the source of this 1254-nucleotide long non-coding RNA. RefSeq lists it as uncharacterized. The record is from RefSeq and is a predicted model, not a curated record. The transcript is spliced from 4 exons. NCBI's taxonomy places the organism in Eukaryota, Viridiplantae, Streptophyta, Magnoliopsida, Caryophyllales, Amaranthaceae.